GUUAAAGAACGCAGCUUUCGUCCAUAUAAGCGAAAAUUUUCGACAAUUUCCUUAAUCCUCAGGGCGCUUCUUGUUCCAUUGAGGUGCGGCAUCCUCAUCUUCAACCUCAUCGUCUUGGUGACUGUGCUCAUUGUCUGGGCCAUUCUCUAGCCAAGCAAGCCCGGAUUUAUAAAAAAAUAGAUCACAGCGGCGAAUCUGGACAGGGGAGCAUUACGCUGCAUCGCUUUCAAGUGGCUGAGCUGGACUACCCUGGGCGUCUUCCCUCUUCCCCUCUCUCUAUCCAGAGUUGUAACUUUUUUUAUGAAAAAAUAGAUCUUUUUUCAUGUUGUUGAAGAUGAUCCAAUAUCUGAUUUUGGAUUCUUUGUUUUUUAUUUGCAUGUUGAGGGAGGAGCUCGAGGAGAGAGGGAUUUGGCGAGGGGUUGUCAAACGACUUCGGUGCUCCUUGGCUGAUCACAACGGCGGAUCUGGGGCCUGGGCUGGGGGGCACGACGCUACGUCACUUUUAGGUGGCUGGGCAGGAUUAUCCUGGCCAGUGAUUUGACUCACGAAGGAGCUACGGAUAGGCACCGCACCUCAUGGACGAGUGGCCCUCGAUCGAUGGCAACCACAAAGCUUGGAGGUUGGGUACGGUGCCAUGGAGAACCAUAGAGAGAGACAGCCAUGGUUGAAGAGAGAGAGAACCAUAGACGAUCUGGUUUUUGAAUUAUCGGCACUAUAUAUAGCCUUAAUUGAUCAGAGAAUUCAUGAUUUCAUCUUGCAUCUCAAUUAAAAUCAAGAAAUAGUGCCCGCUUUAAUUAUGCUAGCUAGCUUUAAUAUUUAAGAAACUAUAUUUGCUGUCGUUUCUUUUCUUAAUUGCUCCUCUUUAAUAUCA
Long non-coding RNA from Juglans microcarpa x Juglans regia, 871 nucleotides. RefSeq lists it as uncharacterized. The record is from RefSeq and is a predicted model, not a curated record. NCBI's taxonomy places the organism in Eukaryota, Viridiplantae, Streptophyta, Magnoliopsida, Fagales, Juglandaceae. The transcript is spliced from 2 exons.